UAGUGUGGGGUUGCUAGGGAAGAAUAAUACAUAAUUGGCCAAUCAGUAUCGAUGAAUUUAAUGUCUUUGGGGCGCCAGAAUUUCACCUCGUAAAGUUUCGGGACCCCAUGGCGAUGAAGUUGAUAAUGGUGGCAGUCGGUGGAAAGCUUGCUCAGACAGAAUCCCCACCUUGAAUGACAAUGUCUGCUGCUAUUAUAAUGUUAAUGUUUGGUUCAAGAUGGCCGUCCUGCUGUGGUGUUGGACAAGGAGGAGCUGAAGUCUUCUUUGAUGCACCUCCGCUGCAACUGUCAUCGACUCUGUUUCUGAGUGGUAUCGUUGUCAUGGGCCCCAUCAUUGUCCUCCACUCUAUCAGUCAGCGCUGUUUACAUUCUGGUGAUUUUUGCCUUGAAUCGCUCUUGCGGAAAUGUGACCUUGACUGGAAUGCGUGCAUCUUUUAAACCCGAAGAGGAAGGAGAAGGCUCUUUGAAAGUCUUGUCUUUCAUGCCACGAGACAGGAGGCUGUCUGAACUUUUUAUUUUUUUUUAUUUUUUUGACCAGUCGUU
This is a long non-coding RNA of Poecilia latipinna (sailfin molly), 542 nucleotides long. RefSeq lists it as uncharacterized. The transcript is spliced from 3 exons. Lineage: Eukaryota; Metazoa; Chordata; Actinopteri; Cyprinodontiformes; Poeciliidae. The record is from RefSeq and is a predicted model, not a curated record.